Molecule: non-coding RNA, 26 nt
Filed under: Homo sapiens (human)
Lineage: Eukaryota; Metazoa; Chordata; Mammalia; Primates; Hominidae
Source: RNAcentral
UUCCUACCCAAGUGGCCUCCAGCUGU